GUUUUAGACUGCAAGGGAAAAUUGGUGAAUGGAGUUAGCAUAGAGGGCAGCUGCCUGGCUAUAGUUUGGGAUUUCUUCUGAGCUGAAGCAGAAGGAAAGAUUUAGCAACUGUUUGUCGUGGCAGAAAAUCAUCUCUGAUCGUUUGUGGGGCAGAGGAUUGGAGUCAAGAAGAUAUAGACAAUUUCAAACGAGAAAUCCUGACCUGUGUUGUGUGGAGCUGUGUUUGCUUGAUGAACCUGUUAUAACUCCAUCCACCUUCACUCCAAGUGAAUGGAGAUCGUUUGGCGAAUUGAAUCAGGUCCUCAAGUUUCAUCGCCAUUGACUACUGAAGAAAAGAUAGCCUAAAAGGGUUAAGAAUCCCAGCAAGACACAACAUAGAUGGGCUGAAAACUCGUGGCAGGAUGGAAGGGUAUAAAGACGCCGGGGAAGUGGCUGGGGAAUAAUAAAAUAAGAGGGAAGCUAAACCAGUGACCCUUGUCGGCAGUGAAAAGCGGGAGAUUAGAAAAUGUUUCAUGCUAAUUUCCAUGGAGAUUUCUUUAAUUUAGCGAAGACUGCUUCCCGGGCUCCGCCUGGCCCGCGCCGGCCCGCGUCCUCG
Molecule: long non-coding RNA, 595 nt
Filed under: Homo sapiens (human)
Lineage: Eukaryota; Metazoa; Chordata; Mammalia; Primates; Hominidae
Description: HSALNT0225459
Source: RNAcentral